RNAcentral lists this long non-coding RNA (34417 nucleotides) under Vitis vinifera (wine grape). RNAcentral describes it as "long non-coding RNA (VVIN_LNC000887)". The record is from RNAcentral. Lineage: Eukaryota; Viridiplantae; Streptophyta; Magnoliopsida; Vitales; Vitaceae.
UUCUGCCUUCUUAACAUUUAUCCAAACAUAUGAAUAAGGGAGAAAAGAAAUGAGAUGUAUAUUUUCACUCCCUAUUCCCGUGUACCAAACACCCCCUCACUAUAUCUCAAUUAAGGUUACAUAAAAUGGUAUUUAUACUAAUCUUCAGGUAUUGAAAUUUCAAAAAUACCCUUGCAUUGUAUUGCGGGGCCCCUACACCCACCUAUCAUUCGUCCUUAACGAUAAAAAUACAAGCUUGAAUGACAAAUGUCAUCGUUCCACUCUACUUUACUCCAGCAUUUGUCCAUUUUUCUCCAUAUGUCUUUCACUCAAUAUAAGCCACAUAUAACAACAUUUUCAUUUGGGAGACCUAAAAAGUGCUUUAGAAAUGGUGAUGAAGGAGUCGGAAUGUUGUCUAUUUUUCUCCGAUUCUAUUGAUGCUUGGAAGUAGUGGUGCUUUUGGUUUUCGAUGCCAGUAAAUAUUGAACAUCCCUUGUGUUUUGUAAGAGUAUUUCCAUCAUUUUUCUUGUUUCUUUUCCUAAUUCGGAAUGGUUACACUACUUGAUCGCCAUUUUGUUUUGUUUUCUGAACAUAUUGUUAUUUUCUGAGAAAAUAUCCGUGACAGGCCCAUUUGUGGGAAAGAAGGAGAAAAUUUUGAUUAAAGAAUUCUUGUGGUGUGGACGAAUGGAAUGGUAGUUCGGUAAAUAUUUGAACAAAAUAUGGCCGAAAAACAGUCACAACAAAACUUCUCCAAUACACCUCUUCUCGCCUUUUAUUACUUAGUAUAGAUUUUCUAAAUUUUAUACAACACAUGAUUUUUCUUAAAAAAAACAUCUUUUAGUUACAAGCCAUUUUUAAUAACACUGGCAAAGAGAAUGUAAAUUAUGGGGAAUAGGCUUAGGGUGUAUAAGAAAUCAGCUGACAUCCAGCCCAAUAAUCCAAAAAUUAGGCCGGAUUAGGCCCAGCCCACUAUCACAACUAAGGCUAUAGACGCUUUAGGUUUCAUGGCAGCAGAAGGAACCCCAUCUCUGUCCACGAAAGCAUUCGAUGAUUCCUUCAAGGUACUCUUCCAAACGAUAUUCCCGAUUAGUCCAACCGACUUCCAGUUCCAGAUUAUUUAUCGUCGUUUGGGUGCUGAGAAAUUAACGAGAAAAUGAAAGAAAAGUUUGAAUCCUAAAAUAGUAAGCAGAUAGCAUCCCAAAAUGACGUGGGUCCUAAAGGCGAGUCCUUGACAACCUAAUUUCAGGCCCACAACUUUUUUCUCCUCAAUUUUAGGCCUGAGCCCAUCAUGCUCCAAGCCCAGAUGAUGUUUUAUAAUGUUAUGACGGGCGUUGACAUUGGGCCUAACGCCGUUAGGGACCGGAGGGAAACCAAUUGUUCAAAUGAAACUCGUUUUUACCGCAUUUUCUCGCCCUCUUUCCACAAAGCCAAACAGAGGCUAGGGCAUUGUGACAAGUUCUAGCCUUUUUUCCUUUACAUUUUUUCAGGAAUUCAACUCCAUCGAGGUAAUAUGUUUUCCUGUAAACCUCAUUGGUUCUGAAACUAUUAAGUUUUUGAAGUUUCCGAUUUGAAGUCUGUUCUAGCGAUCGAAUCUUUACAGUCUAUUGCAUAGAUUGGAGAUAUUGUGAAUGUGGUCGCCUGGGCUCUGUUUGAUUAGUCAUAAACUAGAUUGUGGGAGAAUUGUCUUGCGAGAAUGAUUUUAUUAUGUCCUUGUAUGCUAAGGAAGUGUAGGGAGAUGGAAAAAACUAAGAUUUAAGUUUAGGGUUUUAGACGCAAAACAAGAUAUAGAUGGGAUAGGGAAUGUUAAGGGCCUUUUGCUUUGCUGAAAUGAAAACAGUGUUUGGAGAGAGAAUUUCAUUUCCAUGUGUCGAGGCUUGUUGUUUUUUUUGAUAGUUUUCGGUUGUUAACUAUGCUAAUUUUUGGAUUUUUUUAAAAAUGAUUUUGGAAAUACCUUGCUUACUAUGUCUCCAUGCGACUUUCAUUUUUUCUCUUUUUGGAAAAAAAAAAAAAAGUUAAAAUUUCCAUUGCUUUCCUCCCUUUUCUCUGGUUUUGGUGGUAAUCAAAGGGAGAUGGUUGUGGAUGUACUUGUUCUGAUGAAUUUUUGUAUCAUUAAGUUUGGCUGGGAAUUAUGAGCUAUUUAUGGCUGAAAUUCAUUUUUUUUUUGUUCUGGGAAGAAUUUUCCUGGAAACAUUUUCCAUUGGUGAAUUGAAUGGUGGCUUUUCCAAUUGAAACCUGUAGUGAUUUAAAAGAAUGGAUUUCAAGAAUGCACAAUUUCGUCUGUAAAAAAUAAGUAGAGUUUGUACAAAAUAUCUGACUGUUUUUAUAUCAUAUAAAAUUUUAGUUUAGGAUCUUGAAGAAUUUGAUUGUUUUUUAGUAAAUAUUUUCUUUUAAUGAUAAUUUUUUUCGUACUUUCCUUUUGAAAUGUUAAUAGCACAGUUUAUAGAUAUGCUUGUAGGAAUAGAAUUGAUUGUAUGAGGACUUAUUGUCUUAGUAUUUCAGACUAGUAUGGCGAAGGUUGCUACAGCUGGUCCUUUAUCUUCCAACUCUAUUCGUUUUGGUGGGGUUUCUGGGAAGGUGGAGGCAGGAGUUAAAAGGAAGACACCAUCGGAAUUGAGAGUAAGUUUCUGAAUUCAUGGUCUUGCUCUGUUCUCUCUAUUCUCUGCAUUAUUAGAUGAUAAAUUGGGCAUAAAAUGAGUUUCUUUAGCCUUCUACAUGGAAGAUCUUGGCAGGUAGUGUCUUCUUUUUUAAUUGUUAAUUUGUUAAUUUGCAAGUUUUAUGAGAUGAAGGAACAUAGCUGUUGCUCUGCAUGUUUGCUUCACAUACAAGGAAAGGAAGAUUACUCUGAUUAUCUACUUCUACACUCUCCUGGUGCAACAAAGAAAGGAAAAAAAUUGAAUGGCUCUGAGCAUUUUUUAUUUGACAUAUUGUAGCCUUUUCAUGAAUCUAUGUCUGUUCUCUUGCAAGGAAAGAGCCCUCAUGGGGAUGCCGGGCAGUUUUCUAAGAGAAGUAGCACUUAUUUGCACUUGACUAUAUUGAGAAGUAGGACUCCUUGUUCCAACACAAUUGGGACUACCAACAUUUAAGACAAGUGCUGUAUUUGCAAUUCACAGACAACACUGUCUCUUUUUCUAAGGCCAAUGCAGAAGAGUUGCAAAAUCUUGAGAUCAUUUUGUUGAUUUUUGGCCACAUUUCCAGACUUCAUAUCAAUCUAGACAAGAGCACGUUGUCAAGAAUCAAUAUGAGUCGAGAUCAAAUUGCUAGAUUGGUUUCGUUCUUAGAAUUUAAAGUUUCCAAUUAACCUUUAACUUAUUUGGGUCUUCCAAUGGGGGGAAUCCCAAGGCUAGAGUCUUUUGAGAUCCGACCAUAGAAUUUCAAGACUGGAUGGGUGGAAAAAAGCCUUUUUGUCUAUAGGUGGAAAAAUAGUUCUAAUUUAGUCUUGUUUUUCUCACAUCCCUAGCAACUUCCUUUUGUUCUAUAAUAUUCCAUUCUUAGUGACAACAAAAAUUAAGAACAUGUAAAAGGAUUUUCUUUGGUUAGGGUUUGGGGAGGGAAAGAGAUAGUAUCUUAUAAGCUGGAUCUAAGUGUGCAAGCCUAAGGAGGAAGGUAGCUUUGGGUUUAGGAGCAUAUCUUCAAGAAAUAAGGCCUUCUUAGGGAAGUGGUUGUGGAGGUAUCCUAGGGAGAGUAUUGCUUUAUGGCACAAGGUCAUCUUGGGCAUGUAUGAGACACAUCCAAACGAUUGAGAUGCCAACAUUUUAGUGGAAAAUGGGUUAAAAAUCCGUUUGGGGAAGAUUUGUGUUAGGGGAAUUAACCUUUGGUUGCACAAUUUCUAAGUCUUUACAAGCUUUUAUUAGUUCAAAAUUCUUCUAUUUCAUUUGUCCAUGGUCUAUCUUCUCCUCUUACUUGAAACUUUGACUUUCAGCGAAACCUUAUGGAUUCAAAGACAGAGGAUCUUGAAAGACUCAUGUCCAUUCCCAAUGGUGUUAAUCUAACACUGUCAUCCCUAGAUAUGAAACCUUGGCCAUUAUCACCUUUCAACUUAUUUUUGGUCAAAUCUUUUUUCUUGACCUCAUUUAAUCAUUUAACUUUAGUUUUCUUUUCUCUUGCUAAUUUCAUAUGGGAAUCAAAAGCUUGGCCAAAGGUCAAGGCAUUUGCUUCUAUAGCGGCUAACAAGAAGGUUAAUACCAAUGACUUGCUUUAGGUGAGAAGACUGUUCAAAGCCUUAAGAUCGGAUUAUUGAACUUUGUGUAUGGAUAGUUGAGAAUCAAUGGAUCACCUUUUUUACACUGUUCGACAACUUUGGAGUUAUGACAUGAGCUAUUCAAACUAGUCGGUAGGUUGGAUUAGGUUCCUUCUAGAAUUGCUAGAGACAUGUUCACCAUUUCUUUUAGGGGUUUGGGUAGCACUAGCUGGGGUAAAGUCAAAUAGCUUGUUUUACAUUGAUUGGAUAGUAUGAUGGGAAAGAAAUGUAAGGAUCUUUGAAGACAAGUGGAGGACUUUCGAAAUGAUAUGAGACCUAGUCUACCUCUAUUCAUCAUUUUGGGCCUCUACUACUAUAGUUUUCAAGGGAAUUCCUCUCAACAUUAUUUAACUUGAUUGACUUUCAAUAUGUAGAUCGAAAGGGUUAAAAUAGCAGUGUUGAAACAUUUCAAUGUCUUUUGGAUUUCUUUUUUCCUUUCUUUUGAUCAAGUUUUAUAAUUAGGGAAAGAUUUCUUAUCCUUCUCUUGUUUACUUUUUCAAUGAAAAUGUUUUUUGUUUCUAAUAAAGAAAGUUGCAAGUUUUAUUUAUUUUUAUCAACCAUGAAAGUCAUGCUGAAUAUGGAAAAAUGCACAUUUCCUGGGAAAUACUGCAAUGCUUUUGUCUUUUGGUUUUGUUUUAUGGAAGUUAUUAAUGAUUUUUUGGUGGGUAAUUUAUUUGGUUUCACAUUAAUAGAAGUCUCUUGGGAAUUACAGCAGUGUUUUCAUCUUUUGGUUUCAUCUUCCUAAGUUACUAAUGAUUUUUUUUGGUGGGUAUUAUAUUUGUUGCCACACUAGAAUGCAUUUUAAAAAAAAAAAAUCUGUGGUUGGAUUUCUUACUGUCAUGGCCUGCAAUUUAAUGGGUUGACUCAUGGAACAAACAUAAAAACAGGCUGGACCCUGAUCAAAGUCGGAUGCUGUGAUAUCCAGUUGCUGUGGUGUACAGCAUCUUCCAACUUUUCAUGUGAUGUAAAAUGGAACUGUUGCAUUUUACUUUAGCUUUAUAGACUUCAAAUAUUAUCCUUAAUUGGCAACAAAUCUUACCACAUUUCUUUGCAAUUUGGUUUCUGAGGAGCUUUCUGCAUGAUCUUUGCAAAUGUUUCUGGAGGAAAAUUCUUAAGAUUUUCUGUGUCUAUUAUAGGGAGAGCAGUUAAAGCGAAGGAAUGUUAUAGAGCUUGUAGAUGAAUCUCCAGCUCCUUUGCUUGGUUCUACAAGGUAAGCUUUGUUGUAUUUCUUUAAAUUACCUUGAUUUAUAUUUCACUAAGUUCUUGCUUGCUUCUCUCAGGAACACCAAUGAGCUCAAGAAACAAGAUGUUUUCAAAGUUCCAAGAUACAUUGACACCCGUAUGGAUGAAGUUUUUCCUGCCAGAAAGUCUAGGUUUAGGAUGCUUCCUGGAAAAGAAAAUGCUAAGGUACUAUACAUUUUCAUUUAAAAUUGAUUUAGUAUCAAGUAUGUUUACUGUAACAUGUUAGAACUGUCAAAUCAUUAAUCUGUCAAGAUAUUGAAUAUGCCAUGCAAUUUACCAUGCAUUAUUACUGUCUUAAUUUAUUCAAAUUUUUUAAUAUGUGCAGGAAGAUAUUUCAACUGAGCCGGCUGGCUGCGUGAAGAAUAUGCGUGUUUCUUCAAAUUCAGUUGUCAAGAGUCAUCCACAACUUUCAUGGUAUGCAUUUCCAGGACAGUGUACUUUUUUUAUAAUUAAUAAGUCGUUUGCUUUUUUCAUAUUUAUUCUAUUUCUUAUUUCUAUCAGUCCAGAGAAUACUGUGGCUUCAGCUGCAGUUUCCAAAGAUGGUACAAGGCAAGAUUGUGAAUAUGCUGAAAAGUGCAGUCAAAGCACAUUUCGUAGUGUGGCUGAAUUAUCACUUGGUAGUGAGAGGAUAUCUGAAAUAGUUUCUGUUGAUAUGGUAUUUUUGUUAGCAUUUUCCCCUUUUAUUUACCUGAAGAAAGUUCUGUGUCAAAAAAUAAAUCUAUUUAUUUUCACAGGAUAGAGCAUUAAAAGGACUGGUUGCCCGUGAACCCCCUGCUUUUUCUGGUUUAGCUGCUGAUUCUUCUGAAAAGUUUGGCAAUCUUACUUCAAUCUCUUCUGGCAAUUUCUGCUCUGAAUUUCAUAUUCCUGGGCAAAAGGCCCCACUGGAUUUUACGUUAAAAACUAAUAUGCAGAUAGUGUCUUCUUCCUCUGUGAACUGGUGAGUCUGCUGAUAUGUUCUGUGUGGUUGGUUCUCAUUAUAGUUACAUAUCUCACCUAUUUCUAGAGAUUAUUUUGUUUACUUUAAGGGUGAAAAAUAAUGCUUCCUCAUCUUUACUCUAGUUUCAUCUGGAAUUUGUUUUUUUGGAUGUGAUCUGAUGCAUGAAACUGGUGUUGAACUUAAGCUAUUAACUUGAGAAGCCUAGAUAAGGGUUUUUGGUGGUUUAGGAUGACUACCAUAAAAUAUGUUCUAUGAAAAACAAUGUAGCAUCAACAAGUCUGUUGUAUUUUUGGGAGGAUUCCUCAUCCUUCUUUUGUGUUUCUUUAUCCUUAAUUUAACACAUUUGUUGUUUUUGAUAAAAUAUAUAUAUAUAUAUAUCCUCAAAAGGUAGGAUACAAACGCAAGGACCUAAUAACAUAUUAAUAUAUAUUUUUAUAUAAAUUAUAUAAUAUCUGAAAAUUAUGAGUGUGGUUUGUUCAUCUAUUUUUUAUACUAAAUUGCAUAGCUUAGAAGAAGCAGCUCGUUCGCUUGUAUCCAUGCUUAGAGCAUCUCUAAUGCAAUACCAAAGUAGUUUGCUAUUGCCAAAAAACAACAUAGUUUUUAAAUAUUGGCACUCCAAUGGCAGCUGCCAUUAUUUGGCUUUCCUUUUAGCAUUGCCAAAUGCAAUGCGAUCUUUGGCAUUUGGUUGGAGAAUGGUGGUUGAUUGCAUUGUGGUCCAGCACUAAAAUUUGGCAUUGUUAGUUUAAUAUUUAAGUUGGAGAGUAAUUACCAAUGCCAAAAAAUAAGUUUGGCAUUUGUUGUUUUAGCAAUUUGCAUUGAAGAUGCUCUCACUGUGUAAUAUUUUUUUUCAAAAAAAUGCUCUCACUGUGCGCAUUCUUAUCAUGUUGAAUUUUUUAUUUUUUUUAUUUAUUUUAUUUUUUAUUUAUUUUCUUUUGUAAGAUUUAAGGUUUUAUCAAAAUUAUACCAGGCUUAACUGCAGGUAAAUAAUAUGUUGUUACUGUGACUUAUUUAAAUCAGGUUCCUUCAUUGGAUAAGGUUUUCAGAAACAUGUAACACAAUAAGUGGUGCAUAUAAAUUUUUUUAACAAUGCAGUCACAAAUACAAAAACAAAAUUACUAAUUGGACUACUACAUAAAUUGAUUGAGGAUAUAGCCUUCAAAUAUGUAAUUGUACUUGAGUGGUUUGGAGAAUGAUGACUGGCUAUCUGUCCAUUUGUUUGUAUAAGAUUUGACCAACUUGUGUGCCUAAACUUGAUUACUUAUUUAUAUUGGUUAUUCCCUUGAAGUUAAAUGGCAUGCCCAGUUAGUCUCAUGCUUACUCUGUUCUUGAAAAUUAUCUAUACCAUACCAAUUUACUGAAAAACUGGACUGAUGCAUUAUUGAGAGAAAUACAAUUCAACAUAACUUUUGGUUUUUCUGAUUUUCAGGGAUAUGAAGAUAAGAUAAUGGGUUCAUUUUAUUGUUUAGGUGGUUGGUAGUGCACUUUGUUUAAUGCUAUAUGAUGGAAACUUUAACCAUAAUGAAUUUGUCAGUGCAAUUCUUUGAGAAUCUGUAGUAUUCAAAGGAAUUGGUUAUCUGUGUAUAGAAGAUGCUGUGGAAGAAAGAAGUAAUCUAAAAUUUUUAUUUAUGAACAAAAUUUUAUGAGGGAAAAAUUUACGCAAUAAAAGAGAAUUGUUACUUCAAUGGCACAACCUUAGUUAUUCUUCAAUUGCAACUUCCUUUUUUCAUAACUGUCUGGGGCAUAGGCAUGUUAUUGUUUGCCCAUUGGGAAUGAUUCAGGCAUGAGAGUGAUUUACAUUCAAAUUACUGUUGAUCUUUUCUAAAUAUCCUGUUUCACUUGUCCAGAUGUCUUUCCCAUGAAACUAUAAUUUUGUUGCUUGAAAUUUUGAGAGAAUAUCAUAAUUGCCAGUUAAGUGGUGAUGGUGUGAGAUUUAGAUGCUUUACUAAUUUUCUUUUGUAUUAUUUUGAUGCUCUUUUGCUGUAGUAUUUGGAUCUUAUUUUUUCUGUUAAAUCAAAUUUUAAAAAUUCAUACUUUGGUGCUAACAUUUAAUUAACCCACAUAUAUUUCUGCUUUGGGAUACAUUUGCUAUUUUUCCUUGAAGAAUAAAUUUUUGUACUCAUAUUUGACUAGAAGAAAUAUCAUUGAAUUAUGUCUAGCCUAUGCUGAUUCAUUUGAUAUCAUAUAUUCUUUUUAUAUUUAUUCCUAGAUCAUUGGUUCUAUAUUGUGUUGGUAUUCGUAAGCAUUACUAGUUUAUGCAUUAAUAAAAUAUUCAUCUUGCCAUAUAUAUGGGUUACGUGUAUGCAGAUUGUUGCAUAAUCUAUGUAUGCACUACUAAUGUAUAUUCCACGACACUCACCAUUAGAUUGCUAGUAGGAGGUGAUUUUAGGUAAUUAACCUUAUCUCGAAUUGCCAUUUCCUAGGUUUCAUAGAUUGAACAUGUCUGCUACUUACAAUGGUACGACCCUAUUCACACCUCAAUUUGGUUGUUCCAAAGAUCAAAAUAUUAGCUGCUCCUCUGGGCUCACUUCCACUGCCCAAAUAUUCAAUUAUAGAGCUUUGCACUCCUGGGUACACCCUCAAUCUUCUCUACCACCAUCUGUCAUAUCAGCAUUGACCUUAUCUGCUGCAGAGGGAGGUUUGUGAGCCAAAUAUUUUAUUAGUAUGAAAUUUAAGUUUUUCUUUUCCUUUCUUCUCCUCAAUUUUUCUUAUAACAAAUUUUCUUGGUCAAUUCUGUGGAAGCAGAUUUCUUAAUCAAACGACAACUAGCAUGGGAGGACUCAUUUCGAAGUCUCUAUUACAUGCUUAGAAAGAAUAUCUGUAAUAUCUUCUAUGGUAAUUACCUUCUUCCAUGCUUCAUAGUAGUUUUCAAUUGUACGUAAGUUCUUGUAAGAUUUCAUAUCUUGUUCAUAUGGAACUACUUUCAGAUUAAUAGAAUACCUUUUUAAUCCCUUAUGGUGAAUGAUCUUUUCCUGUGUUACCUUCUUCCAUGCUUCAUAUUAGUUUUCAAUUGUGCCUAAAGUAAUACUUAUUAAAAAAAAAGUAUUAGUUUAUGUUUUGGGCUCACUUAAUUGCUUUAGCCAGUUUCUGUUUCGUUUUUGGAAUCCCAUGGUCUUUGUCAUUGUGAUGAAAUUUCUGAGUAUUUAUGUUCUCUUUGUUCUUCCUGGGCAUUGCAAUUAUUUGGUGUACUAAUUCUUAUAAAAAAGGAAAAGAUAGUAUUAUAUGGAGAAAAAUAAGCUGUUUGUUACUUUGUGCAUUAAUGCUUUUUUUUUUCUUCCUCUUGUUGGAGUCACAAUAAAAGAUAAUAUUACACGGAAAAAAAUAAGCUGUUUGUUACUUUGUGUAUUUGUUCCCUUUUUUCCCUCUAUUGUGGGAGGAAUCACAACAAUAUUGAUUAUUUUAUGAAUUUGAAGCAAAAUGCUUAUAGUUUUGAAAUUUAAUAAUUUGUUAGUGUUGAACUCAAGGCUACAAAUGUUGGUUUUAGUGGACAUUUCAUGGUGUUUUAGUUGACAUUUCAUUGGUCCUAGGUAUAAUAAUGUUAAUAUAUCUAUGUUUAUGCCAAUGUCAUCAUUGAGAAAAAUUUUUGGUGAUUUGCAUUAAAAAAAGUAUACUUUCAGUUAAACCUCAAAAUUUAUAAUAAUUUAGAAGUUAAUCCAAAUUCUAUAUUCUUAGAAAAUUUGAAGAAUUAAUUGCAUUGAUUAAACAAAAUCGGGUUUCAAUAGAUUACCAAAUAACUGUGACGAUUAUUUCAUAAAGUGUGAGAAUUUGUAUGGAAAGGAAAAUCUGUGUGUUGUUAAAUAAUAGUGACCUAAAAGCCUUAAAGAGUCACAAUCCAUAUUCUUAGCUCAGAAAAUUUGGAAAUUAAAUUGCAUUCAUGUUGACCAAAACUGGGUUUAGAUAGAUGACAAGAUAACACACUGAAGACUAUAUCAUAAAAAAAUCAGAGUCUAUUCUAGUCUGUAAUUCUAACACAGAAUCUUGUGGAAUAUUAUGAUAGUCAUUCACAUGAAAUAACAUAGUCUGGCACAAUAGACCACAUUACAUGUGAUAGUCCUGAUGUUAUGUCUUCCCAAAUUUACUUCUCUUAGUCUUAGUGUCUCCAACAUUGAUAAUACAUAAACAAUACCUUAUUAUAAAAGAUUGACAUAUUACAAGUUCAACAUGCUUAUGGAGUAAAGUAUCUUUUUGAGAGCUUUUACUAACAUUGGUAUUUUCCCUUUUGUUGAUCAAAAUACCAUGCUGGAAACAAAUGAACAACAAAAUUAAAUGAAGGACAAUGCAUUCUUGCUUAAUGCAACACAAAAUCUGUGUCAUGAUUGAGUUGGUGUAGUACCACUCCAUGUAUUCUUUUAUGCCCAUUGCUCAGUAUAAAGACAGCUAGUUGUCAUUUAUCAUUCUUUUUUUUUUUUUUUAUAUUAGAAACAACAGAUGUAUUAAUUAAAAGUUUAUAAAAACAUGAGAAGGAUGAGAAUCCUCCUCAUAAUAUACAAACUUGAUCAAAAGACUUGAAGAAAUCUUCACAUACAAGGAAGGCUAUACUAAAAGAACAAAAAGGCCUAUACAAGUAUACCAUCUCCUGAAGCUCAUUUAGGAACCUCACCCUGUAGGCCCAACCUUAGGGUGUACAUAUUGAAAGCCAACUCAAGUGAAUUACACUCAAGGGAAAGGGUUUAAAAAUGUUAGUACAAUAGACCCAAAAAGAAACAUAGAAGUGAAGCAAGUCUCACAUCAUCUCGUGUCUUCCAAGUAUCCUAAAAAAUCCUAGCAUUCCUUUUUCUCCACUUAGUCCACAACAAAGCGAGACAAAUGAUCUGCUAUAGAGUCUUUGCCUUUGGUAGAGUUCCCAAAACACUUGAAAGAAAUAGUCAUCAUAUUGCGAAUACUGCUUGGUUAAACCCACACCAUCCCAACUUGUGAGAAUAUCCUAUGCUAUAACCCCAAAGUAAUUGGACAAUGUAGGAAAAGAUGAUCAGUUGUCUCUCCACUCCUACAUAGGAUACACCAAUCAGGGUUAAGGGCUUUGAACGACCUUCUCACAUAUAGCAUGUCAUUGGUAUUUACCUUCUUAUGUACCACUAACUAGGCAAAGGCCAUGACCUUAGAAGGGACUCUUGAUUUCCACAUAAAUUUAGCUGGUUGGAAAGGAACUGAAUUUGAAAAAUUGGACAAGGCUAAGAAAAAAGAUUUUAUUGAAAAUACACCUAAAGAAGAAGGUGCUCAAGCUUUCGCAUUUGGAACAAAAGGAGACAAAUGUACAUGGGAAAGUAAAAUCAUUAGUUUUUCAAGAUCCUCAAUCUCCACACUAGUUAGAUUCCAACAGAAAAUAAGAUCCCAAGACAAAGAGGUGUCAUUACCCAAGAUGGCUGAAAUGGAUGGAUGACAAAGAGGUGUCAUCUAUCAUUCUCACAUCUUUCAUACAUGAUCGUUUUCACAUGUUCCCUUACUUCUAGCAUGAAGGUCUAUCUUCGAUUCUUGAUGGUUUUGAAUAUCCAUAAUGAUCUUGUCCAUAUAAUCAUAUGGUAGGGGCUGACAAUUCAUCACUGGUUUGCAUACUGUAGUGUUAUGACACUGUAACUAAAUUUGCUGCUUCAUAACCACAACAAUUUCUUUGGCAAAUUGGCUUGCCUAGGCCAUACUUUUGCAAUGGCUGGUUUCUUUCCUAUCGAAAAUGGAGUUUUUUCUUUAGGAAUUUUCAAUACAUAAUUGCAUAUAAAGCAAUUUGAAUUAUGUGAUGCUUUCAUCAUAUUGUUUUUGGUUGUGUCUACUAUAGAGUUUAUUUAUUAUUCUCUGGAAGCUCUAAUUAUAACAUUGAAAUUGAAAGAAACUUCUUUCUUUCUCCUUAUAAUCCCUACACCAUGACUUAUGUGGACCAUAAUGUUUGAGCCUUUUUGGUUGUUCAGGUUGUAAUAGGAGCAAAAUGUGCAUGAUCUGUUCAUUUUGGAUUUUUAUGCCUGGAUUUUUUUUUUUUUUUUUUUGGGUUUUUUUAUUAGUUAAAUUUAUUUUGUAUGUCACACUGUACACUGAUUUUUCUGUUUUAUCGGAAACUUUCUAGUUUGUACUUCACAGUUUGUGGUGGUGUUUGCUGGUGGUGACGGCUCAGGAGGAAAGAAACAGUCCUGUAAUGCUUAUAUCUCCCAGUCAACAAGAGGCUUAAGGUCAUUGCUGAGAGAGCAUGUAAGAUGUAUCUCUUUUAUCUUUUAAAAUUUGAAUGGAUAGGAAGUUUAUUUUGCUCUUUAUGGAACAUGUUCAUAAGCAAUUUUCAUGUGGAAAAUAUGUUAUAUCUCACUCAAAAAUACUGAUUCGAGUUUUUUCUGCUUGAAUAUAAAAAUUAGUUCCUGAAAUAAGAUAUUACUUUUUUUUUUGGCACUUGGUAUUAACUGAGAUAGUGGCAUUGAAAUAGAAAUCAUGGGGCUGCUUAUUUUGACUUAAAAACCUGGAAAUAGUGGCUGCUUCUUUAUUAGAGGUUUAAAUACGAGGUUUAUAAAAUUGUGACAGAAAUGAGUGCAGUGACAAUAUUUUUGUGUUCUUUCUGCAAACUUCUAAGCUAAUCUUGGAGUAACAAUUUUAAACCAUUCUUGUGAAAUUAAGAGGAUUACCAAAUUUAUUGAUUUUGAGAAUAGUUGAUAUUUAUUAAGGAACUUGAUCUGCCGACCAAGUGGCUAACUGUUAGAUCAUGAGAGAUAAUAAUUUAUCAGGGACCUUGAUUGGCUGGCCGAGGGUUUACUGUGUUUGACUUUUACCUACUAAAAAAACUGUCAUCCUUGAUUUUAUUGAGGCAUUGGCUGCUCUAUAUUUUUGGUUUUUUUCUCAUUGCUGAGCAAUCAUUUUGCUUUUUCAGAAAAUUCUUGUAAUUUUGUCUUAUAUAGUAGGCCAACAAUGUAUAUCGAGUUAAGUUGACUUAGGCUAAAGCCUUAACGUUCCACCUGACAUGCAACCUUCUCUUGCUUGUAUUUGGCUCAAUAAUGGGGAUUAAGCAAGCAAUGAGGUUCGAACUUAUGGCCUGUUAGAAACCAAAGCUCUUGUACCAUGUUAAGCCCCAAAACUUAACUGUUGGAUAAUCGACUGAUGAUGUAUAUUAUGCUGACUUGGAGGAAAACCCUAAUUGUCUUCUCAUUUUUUUAUUUUUUAAGUUCUCAAUUCAUAUAAGAAAAUGAAAGAAAAUUUGAAUCAAUGAAGAAGUGGCCAUAUUUAGGUAAGGAUGCAUGAGACUAUGUGUGACAGACGUGAUACCUGGAUUGUCAAUUUUGCUGAAAGUAACCAUGUUGACAAAAAUUGCAUGGAUAUUGUUGUGGGAUCCUCAUGGGAUAUAUUAUUUGUUUUUUUACUUGGGACUGGCUAAUUGGUCAAUAAUUUUUAAAGUGAAAUUUUUGGAACUUGGUCUUUAUGAGAUGAAUUAAGACUAAAAAAAGGAAUUGGGUUUUGUUGAGGAUAUUCAAGGAUAGGAGGAAAGAAAAAGGGCUUUUAUGAGGAUAUUUAAAGAUAAAAAAAAUUGGGUUUUUCUGGGCAGGUGGGGUGAUAGAAAACAGGUCCCUUGGUACUUCAUUAGCAUAAAUUUUUUACUUUUAGGAUAAUAACAUUUAAAGAGAUGAUAAAUCAAAACAAAGGUAAUAAAAUAAAGGUAAAGGGAUAGAUAUGGAUAAAUGAUAAAAAAUAUAUAGAUAUAAAAUAAAAUUAGUGAAAGAAAUAUGUAUCCAAAUUGUAUAUUAACAAAAUUUGCAAUUUCCAAAGACAACAUGACAGACAAUAUAAAUUAAAUUUUUUAGCUCAUUUCCUUCAUGCCUUGGAGUAAUAUGACUUGGAUUACUAAAGGGUGAUUUUAUGGAUUCCAUGAUGAAUAAAGUAGACAUAGAUCUAAGUAAGCACUCAUAAAUAUUUGACUUUUAACCAUGUCCAAGUAUCUGUACCCAUUGUAAGUUCCUUUCAGCAAAGUCCUUGUAUCUUAGAGUUUGUGAAUUUGAAUGAUUAGAUGUGUAACACAUACCUGUAUCUAAUACUUGCAACUAAAUCCCUGUAACAUAUGUGGCAAACAGACAUAAUUUGUGAUUGUUUCCAUCUGUUGCAUGUGCGAUCAGGGGUUGCUUGGAUUGUUUUAGGGCAGCGUAUCUGAUUUCAAUUUGAUAUAAUUGGGUUCAAAGAACUCAGAAAAAAAUAUGGAAGCUCAGAACUAUAAAUGAUUUUGUCAUUUUGAUUCAGCAUAACGAUGGGUUCAAAUGUGGAUCAAAGUUGAAAAUCUUGGUAACCUAGUGGGCAAACCCCAACUCUGCAACCAUGUAAUGAGUUAUAUGCUUAUGAAUUUGUGCCUGUCAUAUAAGCUGUCUUCUUUUCAGGAUGCUGGACCUCUGAGAUUAUGAUAUUAAGGGCUUGCAGUGCUAACCAUUUUAACUAAUUAAUCUCUGUUUUGGAUUAUAUAUAUAUAUUUUUUCCAUGUUUGUGAUUUUUUUUUUUAAUCCAAUGAGCUCUAACUUUUUCUUUUGUCUGUAUAUUAUGAAAACUAGGAUGUUUGUUUCUCUAUGCCUCUUUGCCAUUCUAAAGUAGAACAAGCCACCACUGAAGACCUGGUUGAGCUCUCAGAGAUUGAGAAAUGCAAUCUGGGCCAGGUUUUUGUCUAUGCUUUUAAUUUUGAUUGUCUUUUAUCUUUCACGUUGCUUAACUUACACCUGGAAUAGAACAUGGGAUGCCUUUCUCUGCCAUUUUUGGAACUUACAUGCUUGCUUAGACUACUUGCUUGUUACAGUUGCCUCAAUGGGAUUUUCUUAGGCAUUUAGUUUAUGACAAAUUUAUGAGCAGCAAGGGCAAAAUAUAAAGAGUGAUGUCUGUUGCUGUUUUUUUUUUUCCAAAAUUUGAUUAUGAAAACCUCCUUAGUUACAGAAGCAUGCCUACUUCUCCUGAUGUUCUUUGUGAUUUAUUACUCAUUGGUGAUUCUCAUUUCAAUUCAGACUCGACGUCUUGGUUCCAUAUCUGAUGUGGAUAACAGCCCACAGUCUUUGCUGUCUUUCAGUGGAAACAAGAAUGUGCAUGCUUUAUAUGACUUUAUGCUAAAUUAUAGGUAAAUACCUAGCUAAUGUCUGAAGAAUUACAUCUCUCUAGUAAGUUAGGUACUUUGUCUAUAUCUCUGUUCUCUUUUAUUGCCAGUGGUUCUUCAUUUCUUAUGGCUGUUUCCAGAUCUUUCUUGACGUCCUUGACAAGUGUGGAUGUUCCUCUUCUGUAUUCACCUGUUCCAUUUCAGAAUGCUGCUCUUUCUGCUCCAGAGGUAAGUGUAAUUUAAUUCAAAUUUAAUGGUUAUAGACCGGUGUUAGUGACCUUUGUAUCCCUUGGCCAAGAAUGCAUUUCCAAGAGCAAAUAUACGUCUCAGCCAGAUUCUCACAUAAACGGUGGCCAACAGUUGGAUGUUUAGACCACCAUAUUGAAAAUAUAUCCGAACCAUUUCUGUGCAUAUGGGUGGGGUGGUCCAAAAUUUUGAACCUUCUAAUGGCAAGUGCUUCCCUGCUACUGCUUUGUGUUCUCAAAGUGUCAUCAAAUAGGAUCACUGAACUUUGUUCUAACAUGAUUGAAGUAACUUUGACCAAUCCUUAUUCCACCUUUUCUUAUUGUUAUAAUCAUUUAUCAACCUUUCCUUGUAUCUGCAUCUGACACAAAGAGGUCCGAUGCAUGUAUUACCACCCUUGUCAUGUAAUAUAACCUACUCAGAUUCUCAGAAUACAUUGCUUUUCUUUUAUAGGAUUACCGAUUACCUUGGAAGGACAGUAGUCAUCCUUUGAAAUUAGAGCAAAAUGGUUCUUUAUAAAUUUUAUUACUUGUACAAAGAUAAAUAUUUAUUAUGAUUAAUUUUAGUUGCUUGGUUUUCCUUGCUAAUUCCUGCGGGGUAGAUGCUUGGAAUUUUUCAGUAGUGACUUCUUUUGCAGGUCAGUUGCAGGGAGUUGAAGAGAGCUGAUCAUGUUGCUUUUCCUCUUAAAGGAUCCAAAAUGAAAGACGAAGCAAUUGAAAGUGUUUCAGCUGGUCUCUCCUAUAGCAUUGAAAUCAAGGAUGCGUACAUUCCACCGUGGAUAAUAUCCAGUAUAUGUGCAACCAUGGGUUCUGAAGGGAGGAGCUUUGAGGCAAGGUAUGACAAUUGUGCCUGAUUAUUUUCUAUGACUAACCCUAAUCUCACCACAAAAAGCUGCAGUAGUGGUAGAAGAAUAAAUAUAUGUAGCUACGAGCUUUGGCUUUCAGUUAUUCAUCUUACUGGAAACCAUGUCAGUAGAUAUUAUUUUACACACAUUUGUUGGCAUGUUGUAUGGCCAUAUAUAGAUAGCAUUACCAGCUGGCUAACAAGAAUAAGCUAACUUUGUGUGUGUGUGUGCAGUUUUACAACAGAGCCUACUUCAAUUGGCCUAAAUGCUGCUGUUGAAACUGUUGGCCAGAAAUCUGAUACCCAAGCAGCAACAGGUGAAGCCAUACAAGAAAGCACAUAUGCAUUUGGGGUUCCGGAGGCUGUUGUAACUUCUUACAUGCAUUCGGCCUUUUUAAAAGGCUUGAAAUAUGCCAAUGGUUCUUAUACGGCUCGUCUUUCUCCUGUAUAACAGUUCUGUUUUCAUUUGUCGAGUGUUUCAACUAUAUGUUGCUGGUCAAUUGCCUGUUCCCCCUCAUUAAUUAUUUUCUCUGUGCUUCUGGGUUGUAUUAUCUUAUCUGAUUAACUUUACUUGACCAACAAUUUUUUUUUAAAUUGUUGGAACAAAUUUAGUGGUGAGUCUAGUUAAAAUAAACAGAUACUUGAGUAGCUCCUUUUCAGUUCUUCUGGUAUGAAGUGUGAGAAAGAUUAGUGACAUGGAUUGCAAGAGCACAAACCUUGUUUGAAACGAUGGAAUAAAAAACUUUUGAAAUCAGCUUGGUAGCUAUGUAGCAAGUUGUUCACUAUCCGAAUUGGUGUUCCAGCUUCCCGCCUGAUUAUCCCAAGUGGAAUGGCUAGCUUCUCACUAUGCCUGUAAACAAUGCAUCUGUAUUCCCCGUGUACUCUGCUGCUCUUAUCUUCAUAAGGAUCUCUUCCCACAUUUUCUCAAUCUUCUCUAUUUCAGGAUGUGAGCUUUCUCCAACUGUGAACUUGUGGAUAUUCUCUUCCGACUUUUGCUUUCAUCGUUUGCCUCAUCUUGGUGACUCCCCCCUGCUUUGCAUUUGCAUAAAUGUUUGACAGGAAAAUUUUGAUUGAUUCCAUCAUGAUCGACAAAAGAAUCAAUCUUGGAUUUAUUAUUUUCCAGCACUUGUGAGAGCCAGUCCAAGAUACUCUCGUAGAUAUCUGUUUACUCAGAUUUUAAAGGCGUAUAACGUGGAGUUGAGGGCUGAGAACGAUGUCCAGUGCCCCACAGCUUAUGGCAUAUAAUUGGAAAUCCAUGGAUCAGAUGUAGUUUGAGCGCCUUCCAAAUGGCUCUAGGAUUCGCAAGUAGGGUGGUAAGGAGUUUGCUGAUGAGCUUGUUGAAGAGCAAGCCGAGAUACUUGGCAUGGAGAGAGGAGAGUUUUAGCCAGACCCUGAUACUGAGGAGAUGCAUACUGAGAAGCCUCUCCAUUCCGAUUAGCUCGAGAUGCCAUUUCUGACUCAUCCAGUGCUAACUAUGUCUACUGAGGAGUCUCGUCUCUCACUAAGAUUCCUUAGCCCCCACCACCUCAUUGUUUGAGUUCACUGUGCCAUACACCAAUCCAUCCUCUGCUCAGCAGUACUGGGCAGAUAUCUCUGCUCAGAUUGGGUCCCUUGGCACUCGCAUUGAGGAGUUUGCUCUGUUUAGUGAUCCUCGCUUCUAGUCUAUUGAGGAGUGCAUGGACUCGUAUCAAACACAGAUGACUCUGUAGUUCCAGACUAAAUUUGAUAUUCUGUCGACUCAGGUUCACUCUCAGCACAACCAGAUGAUGGAUUACCUUCGCUCCAUCUUUCCACCUCCACCUCCCCAGCCUUGACUCCGAGCUAGUUUUGUUUUUCCCCUUGUUUUUUAUGCUGCCAAAAGGGGAGAUAUUUUCAUAUGGGCAUAUCUAAGCUAGAAGAUUUUCUGUUUUUUGGACAUGUUUUAAUAUAUACAUUUCAUACUCUGGAUUAUCUUUUAGACAUGCUUAGCUUUGUUAUGGUUAUUUUGUCUUGUUGGUAAUAUGAAUGACUAUUUUUAUCACCACUUGGAUAUUUUAUAUUCAUAGUUUCAGUAGAUAUUCUAUUACUUAUUUAUUUAUUAAUUUUGUUGAGUACUGCUUGGAUCUCUACAUAUGUUUGACCCCUGUAUAUUCCAUGGCUCACACAUGAUAUUUAUUGGUUCUUUAAUCUUCUUAGCUAGCUUUGGAUCUUUACUUAAUUGUCAUUAUAUGGAUGACCUCUCAUUUAUACAAAUUGUUCAUCAUUCAGCUGUUUUUAGAAUCCUUGGUUAGUUGCUUAUACAAAUCAUUAUCUUGAUGUAGACCUUCCAUUUUGUCCUAGCAUAUGUUAUUCUAUGUAUUUUCUUUCACUUUUCUUUGCCUUAUAACCGUCCCAUGGUGGUCCAUUGUCAUUCAUUUGGUACUAUUUUUUAGUCACCUUUGGAGAUUCAUUGUUAAAGGAUUUUUUUAUGGAUCCCAAAUGUGACCUUAGUUGCACUUUAAUUUAGCUCCCUUAGUUACAUUUUAUAUUUAACUCACUUAGUUGCAUUUUGGUUUAACUCACUUAAUUAAUUGCAUUUUAGGUUUAAUUCACUUAAUUGCAUUUUAGUUUAGUUCACUCGGUUACGUUUUAGGUUUAGUUCAUUUAGUUCACUUAGUUGCACUUUAACUUAGCUCACUUAGUAAUAUCUUGACUUAGUUUACUUAAUUGCAUUUUAGGUAUAACUCACUUAGUUGCACUUUAACUCAGCUCGCUUAACUUAAUUAUGUUUUAGGUUUCGUUCACUUAACCUAGCUUACUUAGUUGUAUUUUAGGAAAUUUCUUAGUUGCAUCUUAGUUUAGGUGCACUUUAUGAUGGUUCAUCUAAAUGCAUAUUUUAGUUCAUUACAUUUAGGGGGGUGUUUGGUACAUGGGAACGAGGAGUGAGAAUAAACAUCUCAUUCAUUCCCUUCCUCGUUCCCAUGUUUGGAUAAAUUUUAUGAAGAUAAGAAUGAAAUAAAAAAUGAUUCCGGUAGAAAUCAAAUCCCACUUAUAAGUAGGAUUUCAAUUCAUUACAAAUAAGUGGUAUUUUAAUUCAUUCAUUCCAUAAGAAAAUAUAAAAUUAUUAUUUUACUCUUAAAUUUCAUUCAUCAAGCCCCUGUCUUUCAUCAUAAUAAAACUAUUUUUUUAGUCUUAUUAUUUAGUUACAAAAAAAACUCUCAAAUUUUAUUUUUUUAAAAUAAAUAAAAAAUUAUUUUAAACUGUGUACGAGUAUUAUUGUUAAUUUAUUUCUCUAUCAUUCUUAUUCUUAUUACUACCAAACAUUAGAAUGGAAAAAAAUAAUCAUUCCAAUAUCAAAUUCUUAGUUUAUCAAAACACUAGAAAUGAAAUCACCAAAUUCAUUUUCAUUCACCAAAAAAUAGAAAUGAAAAUAAAAUAUUUAUUUUCAUUCUCUAUUACUUUGUACUUAAUACUCUCUUAAGUGCACUUUAAGAUAGUUCAUGUAAAUGUAUUUUAGGAUGACAUUUUAUAUCACAUUGCAUGACAUGUGCAUGAGGUUGUUUGGGAAAUCAAAAUUGGAGAUUGAAGAGGAUUUUUUAAGGUGUACACGGUUUGGAGAGUUGGAGUUUAGGAUUAAGAUUUUAAAUGGGAAAGGAAGACUCAUUCGAAGAUGGCUCAGGGAAUCCUAGGAAGGGUAGGACUCUUGGAGAUUCACGCGUGGGCAUUGGGAUCGGAAGACACCAAAUUGAUUUUGAUUUUGGUAGGACCCCCUUAGCCCACGACUGCCCAUUAGGACUCUUGAGGGUUUCACACGACUACAUGGAGAUUUUCAAGAAUAAGGACAGACUAGGAUUCGCUUGGGAUACACACGACAUUGAGGAGAUUUGAGACUAAAGGACGAGGUUUUGAUUUUUGCAGGAGUAGGAUUCCCUAUGAGAAGAUUAUCAUUCACGCAUAGGAGAUUUGGGAGAUGACUUUUUUUUGGAGAUGUAGAAGGAUAGGAGAUUUGGAAUAUAAAAUGUAAAAAUAAAGAUGGUAUAACUUCGAACAUAACUUUUUGUUAUAUGAAUUUUAUGUUGUUGUACAAAUUGUUAAUUAACAAUUUUAUUCUUUGUAACUUCUUUUCGUAACAAAAUGCAUAUUAGUAACUUUGACAUAACCUCUAGAUAGUGCAAAGAAUGUUGAUUUUUUUGUUUUCAUAAUUUUUGAUUUAAAAAAUAAAAUUACAUAGCUUUUCGUUAAACAUAAUUUUUUUAUAAUGGAACAUUUUUCAUAUAACUUCUCAUUGUAUGAAAUUUAUUUUUUAUUAAUUUACUAGCAUUUUCUAUGUAAGAUGGAUAAAUAAAAUUGAGUACCCUUGUAAAAAGUAAAACAAUUAACAAAUUAUAAUAAUUAUAUAAAAAUAAAAAUUAUAUUAUUAUAUGCCUUCCCAUGAAAUUUAAAUUAGGCAAAGUCUUCUCUAUUACACUUCAAUGGGGGAGUCACCGAUAGAAAAUCUUUUUCUAUUAUAUAGAAUAGCAAAGAAUUGAAAAACAAACUCCAGUGACCUCAUAAUGAUGCUAGAAAUAAAAUAAAAGAAUUAAAAAAAGAAAUGAUGUCUUGUAAAAUAAAAAAUUAUAAAAAGAAACGAGAAGAGAAUAAAUUGGAAUAUUUAAACAAAAAAUAGAAUGUUAUUUCAUUAGCAAGUCUCCCUUUAUAGAAAGUUAGGAAGAGGUUAUAUCAAUAAGGAUGAUUAUUCAUAAGUUUCUCUAUUUUCAUAAAAAUUCUUAUAUUUUAUAAUAAAUAUUAAUGUUAUAAUAAAUAUUUAAUGGGUAUAAUGUACAUAUAUUAACAUUUUAAAGGAAUAAUUGAUUUUUAUUAAAAAUAAAUAACGAUAAUUUUAGACAAUAAGGUUAACAAUAUUUUAUUUAAAAACAAACAAAAAGGUUUUUAAUACUAAAUGAGUCAAGUUUUCAUUACUUAUACAUAUUUAGUACUUGAUUACAAACUAAGUAUAAGUUUGUAAUCUAUAUAUGUAUUGGUAUACAUAUAUAGUGCAAUUGAUUGCAUUAUAUACAUGGAUAUUAAUAUUCAUAUUAUUUAUAUUAAUUUUAGUAACAAAUAAUUAUUUGAAAAUUUUAUUAAAUAGUAAUAAUAAUUAAUCAGAUGAUAAUCUCAAAGAAAAAAUAAUGAUUAAAAAAAAAGAUAAUUGAGGAGGAGAAAAUCUAAAAAUGAGGAAAGGAUAAAAGUUGGGCAUUUUUGUCUUGUCAUAUUUUGUAUCCUUUUAACCCUCCUCAAACCUAAUUCACCAUUUUAAAAACCAUGUCAUGAAAUUAAAGUCCCUAAGUGAUAAUUGAAUAUCAUGCAUUAAGGUCAUAUUUGGUUAGUCGAAUAUAACAUAAAAUAGGAUAAAAGAAGAGAUAUUAUAUCCAAUCACAUAUUUAAUUGUUAAUGAAAAAUUAAAAGUUAUUCUGCUUCUUAUCUUAUUAUAUGUUCAGCCAUGAGAUGAGAUAAAUGAUAAUAUAUAUUAUCCAAUUUUUUUAUUUAUAAUAUAUCUUACAUAUGUUAAUAAUAAUUUAAGAUGUAGAAUAUGAAUAUCUCAUCUAUCAUAAUUUUUUAAUAUUAAUUAUUUUGCGAAAUAAAAAAUUUUGAUUAAAAAAAUUAAAUUUGUGGUUAAAAAAGAACUAAAAACAUAUUUAUAAAAUAUACUAUAAAAUAAUACUAAUAUAUGUAUUAUUUGUAUAUAUAUAUAUAAAUAUAUAGAUAUUUUAUUUAUUUAUAAAUAUUUUAAUCAUAAAUAUUAUUAAAUGUAAGAGAAAUUUCAUAUUUUUUAAUAACAAAUAUGAGAAUAAAAUAUAAUUUUUAACAAAUAUCAAAUAUUAAAAAAAUAAUAUAUAUUCCAUUUUUAAAAAAAUUUAUUUUACAAACAUACAUAAACAUAACAUAUCUUAUAACAUAUAUUACAUUAAAUUAUCACGUUUAUUGGAUUAUAUCCAUGAAUAUGAUUUCCCAAAAUUAUAUUCUAAAAUAAGUUUGUCUUAUAAAUGAGAUGUGACAUUUUAGGAUAUACCUAUCAUUUCAUAUUCUAUUAUACUAGUCAAACAUAACUUUUAUUUUUAUAUCUAAGCGAUAAUUUCAUUUUUAACCAACAUACCUAAUGUCUAAUGUGAUAAAAAUAUGAAAAUUAGGAUUAAAUACAUUUUAUUCCUUAAUCUCGAUAUAUUUUAUGUUUUGUCCUCUUAUAUUUAAAAUUUAAUACUUUGUCCCUCAAACUUGUUAAAAAACAAUACUUUUUCUAUAAUAAAAACAAUACUUAUAAAAAAGAUCGUUUCUUUUAUACUAUGGUUUAAACAUUGGUUUGAAUUUAGGUAAAAUUGAUUUGAAAGUAAAAUUUUUCAAACGCUUUCGAAAUAUAAUUAUCAUUUGUAUUGAUUUUAAAAAUAUAUUCAUAUGAUUAUUUGUGAUUUUCGUAUGUAAUAGUGUAGUGUGAUAAUUUAAAAUUUGAAUAACAAGUCUUUUCCUUUGCAUUUCACUUUUAUUUUUUCAUUUAACAAGUUGUUAAUUGAUUUUUUAGUAUUUAGUUUUGAAUGUGAGGGGUGGUGUGUAAAAUAAGCUGAGGGAAUAGAGAUUAGAGAGUAUUUAGCCCUAAAAGUUGAGAUUUCACUCAAAAUAUCGUGAUAUAAAGAAUUGGACAUGCAAAAUAUCGUGAGGACGAGAAGGGACUUGGAUGUGAAGAUUUUAGACGGUUGAUACAGGGGAGACUAAAAGGGCGGAAAAGGGCGAGUAGCGUGAGCAUCGGGGGUGAGGAUGGCCACUGGUUUAAAAGAGGAAGGACGAAGCCAUUCACCAUGAGAGCUCCAAUGGAGACGAUGAAUAACACCGACUCCAGCACUCGUAAUUCCAAUUCCAAUUACGAUACGACGUCGUUGUCUGGAGACGACGGCCCCGUUCGUGUCUACGCUGAUGGGAUCUACGAUCUCUUUCACUUCGGCCACGCUCGCUCUCUCGAGCAAGCCAAAAAAUCGUCAGUUUUCUUCUCCUUGUCUCGCCUUUUGUUUUCUGGGUUUUGCUCAGAAGGUCAAAUUUAUUAUCAAUUUUCCCCGUUUUCCAAAAUAUUUCUCAAAUUCGUUAUUUAAGCAUUAACUUAGAACAAUUGUUGUGUAUCGUCUUUCUCUUCUGUUUCCUCCAUUUUCUUGCAUUUUUUUCAUCUGGGUUUUACUCAAAUGUGAAAUUUACGAUAGAUUUUCCCUAUUUUGCCAAGUAUUUCACUGGGAAAUUGGGUGUCGUUUCUCUUGUUCUCACAUUUUUUUUCCUUUUAAAUUCCAUUAGUUUCGCCUUAGGCUUUGUGGGUUUUAGUCAAACUGUAAAGCUUAUGAUCAAUUUUCCCAAAGAAUUCACUCGGGAAUUCGUUUUCUACGUGAAUUGUUAAGUAUUAUUUUUGUCGUCCUCCUUCUCAAAUUUAGCCUUUCGAUUGGUUGCCUAGAAAACUGAAGGAAAAAAAUGAAAGAAAUUGGAAUCCUGAAUCUAAUAUUUACAACCUCAAAUGAGCCAAUUAGUGUUAUUGGGGAUCUUUAUGUUUUGUCCCUUUCUCUCCUUCAUUUCUCGUUUUUUUCCUUUCUGGGUUUUUCGGAAUGUGAAAUUUUGACGAAAAUGUUAAGGUUUAGCAACUAAGUCAUGUGAAAUUUCUUGUGCGUGUUUGAGAAAUUUAUGCGUAGUUGUUAUCUCUCUUUUUUUUUUUCUCAAUUUAGCUCUUCAUUUGGUUUCUGAGAAAACUAAAGGGAAAAGGAAAGACAUUAGAGUUUGAACACGAUGUUUACAACUUCAACUAAUCCAAUUAGUAUUAUUAGAGAUCCUGAUCUUUUCUCACCAUGUCUAAGUUUCCAGCAUAUACUUUUCUUUUGUAAUCCUAUGUUUUUUCAGAGAUGAGUGGUGGAUUUUUGUGGUUUUUCUUGGUGGUUUUUGUCUCUUUUAUGUUGUUUUCAGUAUUUAUUUCAUGCAAAGGUUGAUUCUACGAAUUGUAAAUUCAGGUUUCCAAACACGUAUCUACUUGUUGGAUGUUGCAAUGAUGAAACCACUCACAAGUUUAAAGGCAAAACUGUUAUGAAUGAAGUGGAGCGUUAUGAAUCUCUUCGCCACUGCAAGUAUGUUUUUCUUAACUGUUUGAUCAUAUUUGUUAUUUUAUUCUUAUGACAAUUUUUUUCCCUUUUUUGAUUGGGUGAUGACAUGGAAUGUGUAUCCAGUUGGCUUUGCCUUUAAAACCUUAAAUUGGAUCUGUCUUGUUGAUAAUGUUUUAAUUAAUACCAUUUACUCGAGGGAGUCAUUAAACAAUGAUUUUUAUGCUUAUUUUGUACAGGUGGGUUGAUGAAGUUAUUCCUGAUGCACCAUGGGUACUCACUCAGGAAUUUCUUGACAAGCAUAAAAUUGACUAUGUGGCCCACGACUCUCUUCCGUAAGUAACCAAUCCAAGCACACACAUUUGUAGUCAAGAGUUGGGUUUUUUUAUGGGUGGAUUAUGUAAUGUAAAAUCACAUAGAAACUUCUAUUUAUGGCUUCCUUUUUUUCUAGCCUGUAAAUUCAUUUAUUUGGGAAAAAGGAAAAAAACUCAGUCUUUCUUGGAAAGCAUCAUAACCUUUUUCUUUUGUUGUAUGUAUGCUUUUCUCUCUCUUUUUUAUGCAUUCACAUAUAUAUAAUCAUUAUUCUUUGUGAUGAAUGCUUCAGUUAUGCCGAUGCCAGUGGAGCUGGAAACGAUGUUUAUGAAUUUGUAAGUUUGAGGGGAGCUUUGUGAUUUUUGGGAAUCAUAUAUUUGCAUUUAUUUCAACUGGUCCCCCCUCUUUUUUCCAUCGAUGUUCUUAAUUGUUAGAAUGUUGUUAUACGCUAACCAAGCUUCUUAUUGUAGGUUAAAUCCAUUGGAAAGUUUAAGGAAACAAAACGAACUGAUGGGAUUUCUACUUCAGACAUUAUAAUGAGGAUUGUUAAAGACUAUAACCAGUAUGUGAUGCGUAACUUGGAUCGUGGAUAUACGAGAAAAGAUCUUGGUGUUAGCUACGUUAAGGCAUGGUCUUUGUUCAUAUUUGAUUUUUAUAUGUGGUUCUUUUUUUAUUGGAUAAUCCUAUUUUAUGGAUAUUUUAUUUAUUUAAUUUUAAAAUUGACCUCUUCACUAAAAUCUUCCAGAGGUGGGACUGAUUGAUCUUUGUUUUUUGUUUUUGUUUUUCAUGUAAAAAGGAAAAGCGACUAAGGGUGAACAUGAGACUUAAGAAACUACAAGAAAAAGUGAAGGAACAACAAGAAAAAGUAGAACAAAAGGUAAGUAAGUCUUUCUAUAUAUGAUAUAUUAUUGCUAGCUUAAAAGAAAGUUCACAUCCAUUAGUUUUUGCUCUAUAUUUCCAAGUAAAAUAGCAAGGAAGUUGAAAUUAGAAAUAUAAGGUGGAUUUACUUGAUCAUUACCUUGGGUUAACUCCAGGGUUGGUGCUCACCACAGAGCUGUGCCAUGGUCAAGUUUCCUGUCAAAUGAACUUUGAUCAUUUCAUUACUCCUAUUUCUGGUUUCACAUUCUUGUUGGCCUUCCUCUUGGUCUUCUAGCUUCUGAAAAUUGAAUCGAGUCACUGCCCUUUACUAGCCUUCUGUCUGGUUCCUUGUUUUCAUUUCACAAGAUUAUCCAUUUUAGCCAAUAUUUCUUAUGUUUCCCUUACUUUGUGCUCCUACAAACUUCUGAGGAGCAUUCAGUCUUAUUCUUUCUUUCCUUUCCUGUUUCUUUGACUAUGAAAAUUAAACAUAUUCACAAAAUACUGACUGUAACAAUGUUUAUUUUAGUUCUAGUUUUGUAUCUAAUUUGUCUUUACUUUACUGGAGAUGCAUAAUGGCAUUUUUUUUAAUCAAUAUCAUGGUUGAGACUAAGGUAUUCAAGGUAUCUUUUUCUUACUUGAGAUGAAUUGGUUCUACAUCUAGCCAACACAAUUACUUGUAAAAUAGCUAAUGACUUGUGUGUAAAUUAUGCACUCCAUCUAGGUUGAUGUUCAUAUAAAUUGGUCAGGUUUCUUUUUAAGUUUGUUUCAUGUUUACCAUACUUGUAUAAAGGUUGAGAUCUGAUUCAUGUCUGUGAAUCAUCAGUUGAUGAAACCUCACUAUAUAAGGUGGCAUUUUAGGAGUCAGAGGUUGUCAAAACAGAUGUGUAGCAAAAAGUUUCUCGAGAACAGUUUUUGUUUCCAAGCAGACAAAUAGAUGUUUGUUCCGUAAUAUAUCGUCUUCUUAUGAUGAGACUGAUAGUUUGCACUACCAAAAUACAGUAUCUAACUUAGGGGUUUAGCAUAAAUUGAGAAAGCGGUGGAGAUUGGAUAUGUGAAAAUCAUCUGGUUUAUUUACUGUCAAGGAGGUUUGCAAAGGUGUCACUGAUUCUUAGAAAAUGGAAGAGGCCAUAAGAGUUAUAUCUUUUUAUGUACCCUGGUAAAUCUAUUUUUAUAAUGCAAAGUUGUUGGCUACAAAGAAAUAAGAGUAAUUGCAUGUAUCUUCAGGAUAGUGGGCAGUCAGGAGGUUUGGCCAAGCCUAGUUACCUAUCAAAAAAAAGAAAAAAAAAAGACUAAUGUUAAGCCUAGUUUCUAGGUGGAUGUGGAUAUUUUGGAGGCUCUGCCGCUUGCCUAAGGCGCAAAAUCAUCUUCUACACUGGAUUUUUGAUGUAUUCUAUGUGAAUGGAGAAAUUAGAUGAAAAUGCUCACAUUGAUGAUUUUUUAUUUUGUUUUUCUUAAGAUAGAUUUCCUUAUGACCUCCUGUGGCUCUUCCUUUACUUUGGUAGGCAAACAAGUGAAUAUAUUAAAAGCGGUAAAAGAACUAGUACACAAAAAUACAUGGGAUGUAUACAAUAGGUGCCAAGAGGCAAAACAAAAAAGAGGGAAAACAAAAAACUACUCCUUCCCUCAACAAAAACCCAUGGAAUCUAGAAAAUCAAUUAAAGGCAUAAAGUGUUCACCUAUGUACCCCUUAAGCCACAGCUAGAGAUUAUUGAGGAAAGUGCUUUUAAGUCUUUGGUUUGACUUCUUAUUUUCAAAUGAUCUUCAGUUUGUUUCCCUUCCAAAUAGUCCAGAAAAUGCAUAAGGAAGUGGCUCUCCAUGCCUUCUUUCGUCUUGUUCCCACAAAUGAGUAAUGCCACCUUAGGGAGUCUCCUUAACUAAGGCAGAAAUAACUCAUGAAAUAUGGAAUAAUGAGAACAACAACUGCCAUAAAAUCCUAGCCUUGCCACAAUGAAGAAGAAUGUGAUCAAUGAAUUUUGCCUUCUCCUUGCAAAAAGCACACCUGUUGACUAACGACUAACCGCUUCCUUGAAUCUACUCCAAAGUCAACACCUUACCCUAGCUGGCCUCCUAAGCAAAAAAAAGAACUCACCUUAGACUGAAUCUAGGGGUUCCAAAAUAUCUUUGAUGAAAAAGAAAUGGCACAAUAUGGCUUGAGAACAGAAUAAAUGGAUUUCACAGAAAAUCUGCUGUUGUGAUUGCGCUCCUUUGGUUCUCCUGUGGCAUUAAUGAUGCUGAUUGAACAAGGAACCUCUUUUUCCUUUCACCCUUGUGGUCAAGGCUCUAAAGACAGUAAGGAUGUUGAAAAAAGAGUGCAUAGAUUUGCCCCAAUCUGUUUACAGGUGGCCUUGACUUCUAGAAAUUACUUUUUCAAUCCAUAAAAUCUGGGUUUGUACUAUAUUAAAGAUUGCCCUUCUUCUAGGAACUUGUUAUCUAGAUUCUAGUCUAGUGUAAAUCAGAUGUAAAUAUAAAAAGCCUUAAAAAAGAAGUGGCACUGGAGAUAAGGCAUUGGAAGAUUUUAGCAUGAAAUAAUUUAAAUCAAAAUUUAUUAAUAUUGUCCACACAGUUUCUCUGCCCUUCUGCCAUUCCUGGACACAAACUCAGAGUGUAGUUAAGUGUUACAACAGGAAAGAUUUUAAGCUUAAUAAAAUAAGUUAGACCAAAAUUCGUUAAUGAUGUCUACUGAAUUUUUUCUGUCCCCUUGUGUUGUUCUUGGACAUGAACUUGAAGCAUAGUUAAGUGUUGCCACCGGAAAAGAAAAUAAGGAAGAAAUUUGAAGUGUUAAAAUGUGUCUUAGAGGCAUUGACUCCCUCUUCUUCUCAUUCUGGUAAAAAAAGGUUCAAUGCAUGUCAAUCAUGCCUCAAUGAGUCUUCAACUUUGAAUACCAAACAAAGUUUCAUAAACAAAAUCUCGAAGUACAUGGUAGUGGGAGGGCAGGUUCUACUGUCAAGGUGCAUAAAUUCUAUAAUUAGUAACCACUAACUUUCUUGUGUUAAGGAUGGCACCUUUGAUGGGGUGUAGAAAAUACAGACUUUUUAAGAAUUUUGAAUGACUAAGAAACUUUGAUGACUUUAAUGAGCCGAUGCAUUGUUUCUCACUGGUAAACUAUAUUCCCGACAAAUUAAUAGCAUGCUAGUGCUUAACUAUCUUCUAGAUUCCUCAAAUAUCAACUAUAAUUAAAAUAACCACUAUUUGAUUCUUUUUUACUGAAAACCUCUAAUUUAGUUUUAGAUGAGAAUAUUUGCAGAUUAUGACAUUUACUUUUGAAUCAACCUAUUUUCCUUUCUCUUGGAGUAUUUUCCAAAUCUCCAAUGUAUAUUGCUUGCAGCAAAGUCUUCUUCGAUCUUGCCUCUUCUGGGCUCUUAUCGACAAACCCUCACUGAUGGUGAUUUCUUGAGGGGGAUCUCUCUCAUUUUGGAGAGAUUCAAGUCAUGACCACUUCAUGUAGGGUGGUUUCUUACAAUAGUCCUGAUCCACUAUCAUUUUGGCUUUCUGUUGCCUUUGUAGAACAGACAGACUACAGGCCUCUUGAAUCUUCUCUUUUCCUAUCUCUAUUUAUUUGAUUUGAUUUUGAAUCUUUAACAAGAUCCAUAUAUUUGGAAAAGAUUCAGAAUUUAAUUGAAUAGAAUAGAUGUACUCCAGCAUUUAGAAAUUGGUUAAUCGGUGAAGAUACAUGUACUAGAUCUUUUGUAUGAUGCCUCUAGGUUAACAUUGCAGGCCACCAAAUCAUUUCAGCUAUAUAUAUUUUAAAAGAGGCCUCUCUCAUGGAUAGUUUCAAGUCCAUGCCCACUCUAUCUAGGGUCAUGCUCAUGGGAACCAUUGGCCAUCAAGUUUUGUCAUCCCCUCUUUCAACUCAAAAUUUACUGAAAGUAUUUUCCACAAGUUAUUGAUUCUUACUUGGUCUUUUAUGGCCGGUUUGUUCUCUAAAUCUAUAUAGUUGACUUGCAAUUUAUACCACGUAUUCAUAAUUUAGUUGCACAUCCCAAUAGUUCUGAUACUGAAUGUUUAUCUACAGACCCUUUGCUACUGUAUUUAUUUGCUAGUAUAAAUUAAGCAGAAUGGCCUAUAGCUUUAUUGACCAACCAAGUAGUUAAUCAUCACUCUUUAAUUAUCUUGAUGACUCUAGAUGAGAAACAGCUAUGAGGGUCAUGAUAUCAUCAAUUAAUUUUUUUUAAUAGGGAAAUAUGAAUAUAUUAGUAAGCACUGAACAGGGAGCAAAACAUAAUACAUGGGAUGGAUACAAGGAAACCGUCAAGAAGCAAAGAAACGGAGAUGCAAAGAUUGUGAGCAGAAAAAAGAUUAGUUUUGGCAAUUGUUGUCUGCCAUCUUCUAUGCUGCCAAAAUAUAAAGAUCAUUCUUAAUAAAAUUGUUGUGUGCCUGUACAUAAUUCAAUGAAUAUUUAUUACUUCCCUGUUAUUGCAGAUUCAAAUUGUUGCAAAAACCGCUGGUAUGCAUCGCAAUGAAUGGGUGGAAAAUGCUGAUCGCUGGGUUGCAGGAUUUCUUGAGAUGUUUGAAGAAGGUUGCCAUAAAAUGGUGAGCAGCAUCCCGACAUAAAACAUGCAUGUGGAUAUGAAUAGAUUGAACAAUUUUUAAACUCCAUUGCUUACUUUUCCCCUUCCUUUUUUUAUUUUUUAUUUUGGCAUUCCUAUCAACCAUUUGGGUGUUCAUCAGGGAACAGCCAUCAGAGAUCGUAUACAAGAGCGGCUAAUGGGGCAGCAGUCAGGAGGGUCCAAAUAUCUGCUGCCUAAUGGCAAGGAUGACAUUGAUAAUGAGGAUGAAGAAUACUAUGAUGAAGAUGAUGAGGAUGAAGAGUACUAUGAUGAGGAAGAAUACUAUGAGUCCUCAGACGAAGAGGAGAAAGAGAAGAAGGCAGAAAAGAAAUAAGUGAUCUUCUCCAUGCUUUCCAGCCCCUCAGUUUCGGUAGAUUACUAUACAGUAGCUAUGGAAGGUGAAAUAUGAUUUUCAUAGUGGCAGGAGAGAGUUUGAACAUCGGAAUGGAAAUAUGUUGUUUGUUUUGACAUUUCCUGUGGUCGAAAUUUCGACAACUCUGGGCAAAAGCAUACAUGAAAAAUGAUUUAUGUUGGUUAUGGGUAUGGAAGAGGACCUAGCAGAAGCUGUUUGUGUUUGUGUAUGGGCUGUGAGUGAAGUUAUAAUGGGAAGGUUGUGAACCAGAUUGAGAGCUUUUCAUCAUAAGUAUGGUUUAGAUUCUUUAUAACAGUUGUUUCUUUGAAGCUUUCAUUCUUUACUGUUUUGGUCAGCUUGUACUUUUUUUUUUUUUUUCUCUCUCAUAUGUUACAAUCAAUCUACCCCAUUCUGAUCAACCCUUAAUCCUAAAUUACCCAAAGACUAAGAAAAUGGGAAUGGUAGGGACCAAAUUUUUAAGAAUCAUUAGGUUUGUGCAUGUGGACACAGGUAACUUUGUGGACACAUAGGUAAUAAAGUUAAUAUUAUACAUAUAUUUUAAUUAUUUAAUAAAAAUUAAAAGAAGUUAUUUGGUAAAAAAUUAAACAAAAAUUUAAAACUUUUAAGUAUUUUAGGUAUUUUUGUUUAAAAAAAAAAUACUUGGAUGUCAUGACAAUAUUUAUCCUGUAAUAAAAAAAUCUAGAUAUUAAGUUAAAAGUAAUUAAUUAUUUAUUUUAUUGAGUUUCUAUUUUAUGAUUUUUUUUUUCAUAUGAGCAUAUUUUAUUAUUUCUUGAGUUGGUGAGUAUGGCUUGAAAUUUCCUUAACAUCAUUAAUAAACAGACAUAAGUUAUUAUUUGUUUAAUAAUAUUUUUUCUUAAAAUUUGAAAAAUAAAAUUAUUAAUCUUGUUUUAAUAAAAUUUUUGGAUAUAAUGUUUCCUAAACUUUUUUUAAAAUUAAAAUAAUAAUCCUAUUCAAAUGAAAUUCCUAACUCUUAUCAAAUUAAAAUAAAAUAAAAAUUAUAUUUUCAUCACAAUCGCCUAAAAGAAACUAUUAAAGUUAGAUAUGAAAGUACGAAAACUUAUUUAAUUUCAUAAAUCAAAAUUUAUGUGUAUUACAUAUAUUUUUCUUAAAUAAAAAUAACAAUUUAGAUUUGAAAAAAAAAAUUAUAUCUCAAUCUUAUAUAUCUAUUAAAUAUUAAUUUUAUCAUUAUUAAUAUUUGUGUUUAAUAAAUAUUAAUUUUUGUCUUUAUUUUAAUAAAAUGAAAAAUGAAAAAGAGGAUAUGAAUAUGAUUUUCUAUUUUUUAAAAAUAUAUUAUUUUUAUCUAAAUAAUUGCAAGUAUCUUAUAUCCAAAAAUUCUUUAUAUAGAAAACUGAGAAUAAAAUACCCAUUUAUUUAUUUAUUUUUAUAUUGCAAAUAGAAUUAAUGAGUAUUUUUGUGCUUUGGAAGUAAUGGAUUCUUUCCUUUAGAUCAUCAAGUGAAAGAGAUAGCACAUGGAACAUCGCUUCUAAUGGAGCCUUCGUCAACCUCCACCAAAGGGUGAGAUCGAAAUGCCUAAUGAUUAUUUGAAUUUUGAAGAACUAUUAGCUCAAGAUUCUUGAAUCGAACUGUUAGAAUUGGAAAGGUGAUUGAAAGGGCCCACAAUUAGAUGUCUUAACUCAACCAUCAAUCGGAGGGUUUGCAUUUCAUUGCGAAUGAAAUUCCAUAUUUGAAAGUCUUUGGUAUGGAGUAUCAAUAGCCACAGAUCAUCAACUCAAUGCAUUUCAAAUGGUAAAAGGGUUAUGAUUCACGGUUGAGAUUACAUUAAAUUAUAAGAAUGACAAUGGUCAUCUCGUGAGAGGUAAGGAGAUUGAGAAUGAAAUAAGAAGUUUGAUGAAUAAUGAUCAUGAAAUCAAAGGAAGAGUGAAGGAGAUGAAAGAAAAUAUCACAAGUAUCCUUAUUGAUGGUGGAUUUUCACACACUUGCUUAGGGCGUCUAAUUGAAGAAAUGAUUACCAACAUAGCAUAAAAACAAUGUUCAUGUGAUUCAAACAUCCAAGGAAUAUAUCAUCUUUAAAGAUGUUAAAGUUGUAUGUUUAUGCAUUAUAUCUUAUUAGAGAGUUCAUUUGUUAAAAAUCUUAUUAUUUUUCAAUGUGAAAAUUAGUGUGGAGAAAAAAGUACAUUACUGUUAUUUACAAUGAAAAUUCAAUAAAUAUGUCUAAAUUAAUUAUUAUAAAUUAAUUGAAUAUUUUAAUCUAAAAAGUGAACACCAAAAGCUUAUUAGUAUUUGUUUAAAAGAAUAGGGAACAAUCUACUCAUGAGAGUUUUGAAAAUUCAUCAUGGAAUAUCUUCCCUUGAUAAGAGAUUGAAGGCAUUUGGCUCCUGCUUGUUAUUGCAAGAUUGUUGAGGAAUAUGAUGUAGUUGGGGGCUAAGUUAGAGAAAGAUUAGGGUAUGAUUAUUGGUUUAACACAUUAUUUUAUUGUUAUUGCUUUAUUCUCUUACACUAAUUCCUUACGGGUAUGUUUUGUUACUCGAAAAUUUUCUUAGCAUUAACAUAGAACAAUAGUUGUAUAUCGUUUUUCUCUUCUGUUUCCUUCAUUUUCUUGCAUUUCUUUUUUCAUCUGGGUUGCACUCAAAUGUGAAAUUUACGAUUGCUUUCACUGGGAAAUUGGUUUUCUGUAUUAUUGUCGUUUGUGUUUAUCUCACAUUUUUUUCCCUUUUUUUCCAUUAGUUUCUGGCCUUAAGCGUUGUGUGUUCUAGUCAAAAUGUGAAGUUCAUGAUCAAUUUUCCCAAAUAAUUCAUUUGGGAAUUCGUUUGCUACGUGAACUGUUAUGUAUUAUUUUUGUCAUUCUCCUUCUCAAAUUUUGCCUAUCAGUUGGUUGCUGGAAAACUGAGGGAAAAAUGAAAGAAAUUAGAAUCCUGAAUCUAAUAUUUAUAACCUCAAGUGAGCCAAUUAAUGGUAUUGGGGAUCUGUAUGUUUUGCCUCUUUCUCUCCUUCAUUUCUCGCUUUUCCCUUCCGGGUUUGCCGUCAGAAUGUGAAGUUUUGAAGAAAAUGUUAAGGUUUAGCAAUCAAGUCAUGGGAAAUUUCUUGUGCGUGUUAGAGAAAUUCAAGAGGCUUCAAAUAUCUGCUGCCUAAUGGCAAGGAUGACAUCGAUAAUGAGGUGAGGGAUUCUAUGAUGAAGAGGAUGAAGAGUAUUAUGAUGAGGAAGAAUACUAUUGAGUCCUCAGACGAGUAGCAGAAUGAGAAGGCAGAAAAGAAAUAGGUGAUCUUCUCCAUGCUUACCGGUCCCUGAGUUUUUGGUAGAUCACUAUAGAAUAGCUAUGGAAGGUGAAGUUUGAUUUUCAUCAUGGCAGAAGAGAGUUUGAACAUCAGAAUGGAAAUAUCUUGUUUGUUUUGACAUUUUUGUGUGGUCGAAAUUUUGACAACUCUGGGCAAAAGUAUACAUGAAAAAUGAUUUAUGUUGGUUAUGGGUAUGGAAGAGGACCUAGCAGAAGCUGUUUCUGUUUGUGUAUGGCCUGCGAGUGAGUGAAGUUAUAAUGGGAAAGCUGUGAACCAGAUUGAAAGCUUUUCAUCAUCAAGUAUGGUUUAGAUUCUUUGUGACAGUUGUUACUUUGAAGCUUUAUUCUUUACUGUUUUGGUCAGCUUAUACUUCCUUUUUCUACCAAACUAAUCAUGUAACAAUCAAUCUACCCCUUUCUGAUCAACCCUUAUCCUAAAUCACCCAAGGACUCAGAAUAUCCAAAUGGUAGGGACCAAUUUUUAAGAAUCAAAUACGUGACGACAAAGUAGUCAACACACAGCCCUCCAAAGGAGACUUUCAA